GAUACGGGGUGUGAGAGCACUAGCCCGGAGAUGGAUUCUGAGACACGAAUCCAGGCCCUACGGGGUGCAGCAGGCGCGAAACUUCCGCAAUGCUCGCCAGAGUGACGGAGGGAUUCCAAGUGCCUAUGCUAUGCGUAGGCUGUUUUCAUGUCUAAAUAACAUGGAGAGUAAGAGCUGGGUAAGACGGGUGCCAGCCGCCGCGGUAAUACCUGCAGCUCGAGUGGUAACCGCUAUUAUUGGGCCUAAAGCGUCCGUA
Molecule: ribosomal RNA, 256 nt
Filed under: uncultured archaeon
Lineage: Archaea
Description: partial 16S ribosomal RNA
Rfam family: Archaeal small subunit ribosomal RNA
Source: RNAcentral